AAUAGAUACCGAGAUUCAGUCCAGUCCUGUGGCUGGAAGCAGCGCCCCCUCUCCCCUAACCCUGAGGGAUGCAGGGGAAUGGAAAGGCAGCCCCAGAGAAUAGAGAACAGAGGGCUUACUCAGUCCUGACAGCCAGGAGCACUUCACAGACCCCUCGACCUGGAGGCUCUGCUCAGGAUUCAGCUGAAGCUGUGUCCAGGACCCAGCUGUAUCCAUAUGACCUUGUGAGUGAAACCCAACCCGAUUCUGAUUCUGAAUUCCAAGCUCUAGAAUAACAACAAUGGUUAGCAUGUACUGAGGGACUCUGAGCCAAGCACUGCCAAGUGCUUCAUACCCAUGGCCUCCUUCCAGCCCUACAACGCUGCGAAGUCAAUGCUGUGCCAUUCUACUUUUCCCUUCAUUCCUGGAACUUCUGGGCACAGAAAGUGGAGGAGGAUGAGCAGAGAGCAACAUGAAUCGCUUUUAACAGACUUGCAGUCUUUAGAAGAGGAACUAUGUCCUGAUCAUCAGUGUAUCCUCAGGACUUGGGACAGCAGGAAUGUGUGAUGAAGAAAUAGAGGACAAAUGAGGAACAUUCUCUUAACGGGGAAAACUAAAUUUUCCCAUCAUGUCAAUGUCAUGGAAGACAAAGCCAACUAUUCCAGAUUAAAGGAGACUAAAGAGGGAUCCCUGGGUGGCGCAGCGGUUUGGCGCCUGCCUUUGGCCCAGGGCAUGAUCCUGGAGACCCGGGAUCGAAUCCCACAUCAGGCUCCCGGUGCAUGGAG
Molecule: long non-coding RNA, 764 nt
Organism: Canis lupus familiaris (dog)
Lineage: Eukaryota; Metazoa; Chordata; Mammalia; Carnivora; Canidae
Exons: 4
Source: RefSeq, a predicted model, not a curated record